RNAcentral lists this long non-coding RNA (241 nucleotides) under Setaria viridis. Its description in RNAcentral is "long non-coding RNA (SVIR_LNC006881)". Lineage: Eukaryota; Viridiplantae; Streptophyta; Magnoliopsida; Poales; Poaceae. The record is from RNAcentral.
UGGGAGUAGAUUCUGUUAAAAUAGUUUAAUGUGAUUUGCUCUAUCAUGGAUACGUUUUAUCUUAGUGUAUUUUGCAUUACUUUUGUUGUAGAUUAAAUGGCACCUAGCAGCACUACACCGUUUUGCAUUACUUUUGUUGUAGAUUAAAUGGCACCUAGCAGCACUACACCGUUUGCUUUGCGUUCAGUCCUUGAGAAGGACAAGUUGAAUGGAACAAACUACUCGGAUUGGAUUCGUAACC